ACUACUUUACCGCGGCUCAGGAUGAACGCUGGCGGCAUGCCUAAUACAUGCAAGUCGAACGAGAGGAAGGAAAGCUUGCUUUCCUGAAUCUAGUGGCGAACGGGUGAGUAACACGUAGGGUAACCUGCCCAUGUGCCCGGGAUAACUUCUGGAAACGGAUGCUAAAACCGCAUGAUUUGUUAUUAAAGGUUAAAAACACUGGUGGAUGGGCUUACGGUGCAUUAGCUUGUUGGUGAGGUAACGGCCCACCAAGGCGAUGAUGCAUAGCUGGUCUGAGAGGAUGAACAGCCACAUUGGGACUGAGACACGGCCCAGACUCCUACGGGAGGCAGCAGUAGGGAAUUUUCGGCAAUGGGGGAAACCCUGACCGAGCAACGCCGCGUGAGUGAAGAAGGUCUUCGGAUUGUAAAGCUCUGUUGUAAGGGAAGAAAUGUACUGUGAGAAACAGUACUUGACGGUACCUUACCAGAAAGCUACGGCUAACUACGUG
This 490-nucleotide ribosomal RNA is filed under the name uncultured bacterium. Its description in RNAcentral is "bacterial SSU rRNA". It matches the Rfam family "Bacterial small subunit ribosomal RNA", at positions 1 to 507 of the family's 1533-position model. The record is from RNAcentral.